GCCAGCAUGGUGCAAUGGUUUGAGUGUUGAAUUAUGACUCUGGAGACCAGGGUUCGAUUUCCUGCUCUGCCA
Phrynosoma platyrhinos (Desert horned lizard) is the source of this 72-nucleotide non-coding RNA. NCBI's taxonomy places the organism in Eukaryota, Metazoa, Chordata, Lepidosauria, Squamata, Phrynosomatidae. The record is from the annotation of a GenBank genome assembly.